This 250-nucleotide unclassified non-coding RNA is filed under the name plant metagenome. Its description in RNAcentral is "partial contains small subunit ribosomal RNA, internal transcribed spacer 1, and 5.8S ribosomal RNA". The record is from RNAcentral.
GUAGGUGAACCUGCGGAGGGAUCAUUACCGAGUGCGGGCCCUCGCGCCCAACCUCCAACCCUUUGUCGACUCAUAACUGUUGCCUCGGGGGGCGACCCGGACGCGAGCCCGGGAGUCCCCCAGAGGUCCAAUCAAACACCCUGCGUCUUUGCGUCGGAGUAUUGAAUAUAAAUCAAUCAAAACUUUCAACAACGGAUCUCUUGGUUCUGGCAUCGAUGAAGAACGCAGCAUCUGACUGACUACGUGGUUA